GACGAACGCUGGCGGCGUGCUUAACACAUGCAAGUCGAACGGAAAGGCCCUGCUUUCAGGGUACUCGCAUGGCGAACGGGUGAGUAACACGUGGGUGUUCUGCCCUCCACUUCUGGAUAUGCCUGGGAAACUGGGUCUAAUACCCCAUAUGGGCCAUCUUUCGUGUUAUGGUUGGUUAGUUUUUUGGGUGUAGGAUGGGCUCACGGCCUAUCAGCUUGGUUGUGGGGGAAUGGCCUACCAACGCGGCGACGGGGAGCCGGCCUGGGAGGGUGGACGGCCACAAUGGGACUGGGGUACGGGCCAGACUCCUACGGGGGGGAGCAGUUGGGAAUAUUGCACAAUGGGCGCGAGCCUGAUGCAGCGACGCCGGGUGGGGGAUGACGGCCUUCGGGUUGGAAACUCCUUUCGCUAGGGACGAAGCUGUUAGUGACGGUACCUAGAUAAGAAGCACCGGCUAACUACGUG
Molecule: ribosomal RNA, 465 nt
Filed under: uncultured bacterium
Lineage: Bacteria
Description: partial 16S ribosomal RNA
Rfam family: Bacterial small subunit ribosomal RNA
Source: RNAcentral